GAAAAGGUUCUUGGCCUUUAUUCCUCCCCUUUUAUCAAAGAGGAAAGGUGAAGAGGCUGGAGUUAUGCAAUUGCUCUUUCCCCACUCAGAUAAAGCUUUGGCAAUUUAAUUUUCUUUGAAGGAUGUCCUAAGUUAUGGAGAACAGAAUGCACUGUAUAUGUAUCAAAACAUUUCCUCCUGUUUUCUGCAUGAAGCAUGAGGCAAUUUUUUCUAAACUUCACGCAAGCUCCAUGCCCAGCAUGGAGCCCAACAUGGGGUUCAAACUCACAGCCUGGAGCCAAAAUUGAGAGAAAGAUACUCAACCAACUAAACCACCCAGGUGCCAGUUCAUAUUACAAUUCAUCACACCACUGCUGACUGCUGGUAUGAACCUAGUGGGUUUUGUCUAGCCAGAUGACACUGACCAAAUGAGAAGUUUCAUGACGGAGAUUGUACAUAUAAAAGAAUGAAAAGUACCUCAACAUGGAUAUGCAAGAACAAGAUCAAUGGGAAGAAAUACUUGUACUCUAAUUGCCAAAGUUAAGAACGAAUGUCAUCAUCUUUACCUAUUGAGGAAAGGUUUCUGAAGGUUUCCCGCAUCACAUCUCUGUAGAGUUUCUUUUGUGAAGAAUCCAGUAAAGCCCACUCUUCCAGGGUGAAGCUCACAGCUACAUCCUCAAAGGUUACUGAGUCCUAAAACAUCCCAAAUAUGUUUAUAGUAGCAUGUAUGAUGAGUCUGACAGCACUGGGGAUCUAUACUCAAUUUAUAGGAAGGUUAUAUAUGAUUCUGUGGUACCCACACAUUUAUUUUAUGUCUUGGUCAUGAGAAACUUACUCUGUUCAUACUUCCUCAUAAAUUUAACAGCAUCAUGAACACAUGCAAAUUAUUUAUUCAUCUUUAUGGGAUCACUUUAAACGUUACUGUUCUCUAAUAACAGGGCCUAGAGCACCUUGGAAAAAUGAGAGAAAUGCUAUACAAAUGAAAAGUAUUAUUUUAAGCACACCAAUUCCUUUUGAGAAAAAUGCUCUCAUCUCCUUCCUUCUUACCUACCAUUUAACUCAGCACUCCAUGAUGUACGGGGUCAAAUCUGCAUGAGGUUUUAAUGAAUAAAACACAGUGAAGAACUGGAAGCUUUUUCUUCUAGUCCCAUCACCAAACAUGAGAGUCCAGGAGGCCUGUGGAAAUGCAACUUGUAAUAAGGAUCAGCUUGCUAUACCAGCCUGAAGUGCUCCAGGCCAUUAGAGGUAGCCUGAUGUAACUAGAUAAAGGAAAAUAUUCUCAUGAAGAAGUAGUACUUUUAACUUGUGUGAUAUUUAUCAGUUUUUCCAUUCUCUCUCUCUCUGUCCCAUUUCAUGGAGCGAGGAAGUUAUUCAGAAGCUAGGGCUCAGACAAUUUAGCAUGAUAGGACAUGCUGCUAAAAAGGCACAAUUUAAAUCUCCACAAAAACUUUAUACUCAUGAUGAGCCUCAGGGUUGCUUCUCACUUUUUAGCACACACACAGAGAUGCAAAGGUGUUAGAAGAGCUUUUUGAUCAAACUCUAACAGCGUACCCUGGCCAUUCUAACCUUGAUGAAUACAUUAAGAACUGCAGGUUGUGAGGGAGUUCACUGGUAUCUACAAUGGUCUGAUGAUGAAUCUGUUUGUGAUUAUUAAAUCUGUAAAGGAUUCAGCAGUGCUUUCCUCCAAAUGAACAUAAAAUCUUCAUUCUCCAAUUUCAGGAGGAAGUUUCCUGACCAGCCACUCUAGAGGGAGCCCUCUCAUUUUCUCUCCUUUAUGAGCUCUGAUGUGGUGCAGAGAAGCACAACAGCUACACCCAAAUAUAGGAAUCCCUAAGUUGAUGACACCACAUACUGCCAACAGGGUAUAAUAGAGUUUAUUUUCUAAUUGAGGUCUCUAGGGAGGAAGGCAGGCCUCUCAAGCAGGCAUGAAAUGGCUUGAGAGAACAGGGGAAAACACGUGGACUUUUUAACUGAGGCUGUGGGUGGACUAGAGGUUCAUACACAAGGACAGGAGCUUGUGUGAAUGGAAUCUCUUGCCACCGCCAAAGUAGUAAGCACUAGGCUUUUUUACUGCCUUGGAUAGAACUGGACCACAGAAGGAGGGAGGAGGGAUGAGCUUCAAAGCUAUAAGCAGUUAAACAUUUGAAGCAGUCACUCCCUUGCAAGGAAAAAGCAAAAAACAAAAAAUAAAAAAAUAAACUUAAAAUGAACAACUCUUCUUAGAUCAUCAGAGAACUGAGGAAAGAGGGCAAACCACUGUCUUCAAAUUGGAGACAGAAAAGAAGCUAAACUGAAAUAUGCCCAGAAUAUUCUAUUCUUAACAAGGCCUGUCUUCAGAAGAAUCUGUUUCACUGGGGCUAAGCAAACAGAAAAAAAAACACAAUAUCCAAGAACUUUGGGAUAAUGACAAUGGGAAUAACUGAUGGAAAAGAAAGGCAGAAAAGAACAGAAAAAGUAAGUGAAGCAAUAAUGACUCCAUCUUCCUACCACUCAAAAUAGCAAACUGCAGAUCCGGGAAGCUAAAAGAACACAAAACAUGAAAGAAAAAAAAAAAAAAAAAACAA
Molecule: long non-coding RNA, 2543 nt
Organism: Canis lupus familiaris (dog)
Lineage: Eukaryota; Metazoa; Chordata; Mammalia; Carnivora; Canidae
Exons: 3
Source: RefSeq, a predicted model, not a curated record